GCAAAACGCGAAGAACCUUACCUACUCUUGACAUCCAGAGAACUUAGCAGAGAUGUUUUGGUGCCUUCGGGAACUCUGAGACAGGUGCUGCAUGGCUGUCGUCAGCUCGUGUUGUGAAAUGUUGGGUUAAGUCCCGCAACGAGCGCAACCCUUAUCCUUUGUUGCCAGCGGUCCGGCCGGGAACUCAAAGGAGACUGCCAGUGAUAAACUGGAGGAAGGUGGGGAUGACGUCAAGUCAUCAUGGCCCUUACGAGUAGGGCUACACACGUGCUACAAUGGCGCAUACAAAGAGAAGCGACCUCGCGAGAGCAAGCGGACCUCAUAAAGUGCGUCGUAGUCCGGAUUGGAGUCUGCAACUCGACUGCGUGAAGUCGGAAUCGCUAGUAAUCGCGAAUCAGAAUGUCGCGGUGAAAUACGUU
This 419-nucleotide ribosomal RNA is filed under the name uncultured bacterium. RNAcentral describes it as "bacterial SSU rRNA". It matches the Rfam family "Bacterial small subunit ribosomal RNA", at positions 954 to 1372 of the family's 1533-position model. The record is from RNAcentral.